CGGGCAGCGACGGCAUCCCAUCCGCGCCUCUUCAGUGAUUGGCUCAGCGCUAAUGUGCGGUGCCGAAGUCGGUUCUCCUGUGUUGUAUUCCAAUUAAGAUGGCAUUCCGUCGGCUAAGUUGUCCCUUUUCCGCCCUGCGCUGCUGCUCCGUAUGGAAAUGCGGUGCGAGGGUGGACCUCAAAGCAUCCGUCGUGUCUCGCAAUGGACGCACUCCUUCCUGUAAGAGGUGCUUGUGUUGACGACCCACGGCGGCGUGCUCGAUCUCUCGGAUGCGGAACAUUGAGUGGGUAGGGGGCCUCGGCGCCCCUCCACACCCCCAAAAAAGCGUUCUACGCUUCGUGCGAACGACUGCCGUCCCGGUCUUGUUCUGGAGCCCCUGCGGCUCAAGUUUAUGCUGGGGCGGCGUCGGUGAGGAAUGCUACCUGGUUGAUCCUGCCAGUA
This 441-nucleotide unclassified non-coding RNA is filed under the name Rubiteucris siccanea. RNAcentral's name for it is "partial contains external transcribed spacer and 18S ribosomal RNA". The record is from RNAcentral. Lineage: Eukaryota; Viridiplantae; Streptophyta; Magnoliopsida; Lamiales; Lamiaceae.